CCCAGAAUGGCUCAGUCAGUACAGCAUGAGACUCUUCAUCUCAGGGUUCUGGGUUCAAGUCCCGCGUUCCUGCAUUGCAGCGGGU
Podarcis lilfordi (Lilford's wall lizard) is the source of this 85-nucleotide non-coding RNA. Lineage: Eukaryota; Metazoa; Chordata; Lepidosauria; Squamata; Lacertidae. The record is from the annotation of a GenBank genome assembly.